Molecule: ribosomal RNA, 301 nt
Filed under: uncultured bacterium
Lineage: Bacteria
Description: partial 16S ribosomal RNA
Rfam family: Bacterial small subunit ribosomal RNA
Source: RNAcentral
CAGUCGCCGCGGGAAAACGAGGGGGGCAAGCGCUGUUCGGAUUUACUGGGCGUAAAGGGUGCGUAGGCGGACUGAUAAGUCAGGGGUGAAAUCCCAAGGCUCAACCUUGGAACUGCCUUUGAUACUGUUAGUCUUGAGUUCGAGAGAGGUGAGUGGAACCGCGAGUGUAGAGGUGAAAUUCGUAGAGAUGUGGAGGAACACCAGUGGCGAAGGCGACUCUCUGGUCUGUAACUGACGCUGAGGAGCGAAAGCGUGGGGAGCAAACAGGAUUAGAUACCCGAGUAGUCCCUGUCUCUUAUAC